Molecule: ribosomal RNA, 1003 nt
Filed under: Plasmodium knowlesi
Lineage: Eukaryota; Apicomplexa; Aconoidasida; Haemosporida; Plasmodiidae
Description: SSU rRNA
Rfam family: Eukaryotic small subunit ribosomal RNA
Source: RNAcentral
AGCUAAUACUUGCUUUAGCACUCUUGAUUUAUUUCUUGAGUGUGUACUUGUUAAGCCUUAUAAGAAAAGAGUUAUUAACUUAAGGAAUUAUAACAAAGAAGUAACACGUAAUGGAUCAGUCCAUUUUUAGUGUGUAUCAAUCGAGUUUCUGACCUAUCAGCUUUUGAUGUUAGGGUAUUGGCCUAACAUGGCUAUGACGGGUAACGGGGAAUUAGAGUUCGAUUCCGGAGAGGGAGCCUGAGAAAUAGCUACCACAUCUAAGGAAGGCAGCAGGCGCGUAAAUUACCCAAUUCUAAAGAAGAGAGGUAGUGACAAGAAAUAACAAUACAAGGCCAAUCUGGCUUUGUAAUUGGAAUGAUGGGAAUUUAAAACCUUCCCAAAAUUCAAUUGGAGGGCAAGUCUGGUGCCAGCAGCCGCGGUAAUUCCAGCUCCAAUAGCGUAUAUUAAAAUUGUUGCAGUUAAAACGCUCGUAGUUGAAUUUCAAAGAAUCGAUAUUUUAAGUAACGCUUCUAGCUAUAAAUCCACAUAACUGAUGCCUCCGCGUAUCGACUUUGUGCGCAUUUUAGCUAUUAUGUGUUCCUUUAAUUAAAAUGAUUCUUUUUAAGAUUCAUCUAUUAAAAAUUUGCUUCGGCAAAAUUUUUUUUGAUGAUCUUGUUACUUUGAGUAAAUUAGAGUGUUCAAAGCAAACAGAUAUAGCAUUUGUGCGUUUGAAUACUACAGCAUGGAAUAACAAAAUUGAACAAGUCAGAAUUUUUUUGUUCUUUUUUCUUAUUUUGGCUUAGUUACGAUUAAUAGGAGUAGCUUGGGGGCAUUUGUAUUCAGAUGUCAGAGGUGAAAUUCUUAGAUUUUCUGGAGACAAACAACUGCGAAAGCAUUUGCCUAAAAUACUUCCAUUAAUCAAGAACGAAAGUUAAGGGAGUGAAGACGAUCAGAUACCGUCGUAAUCUUAACCAUAAACUAUGCCGACUAGGCUUUGGAUGAAAGAUUUUAAAAUAAGAGUUUU